This is a long non-coding RNA of Portunus trituberculatus (swimming crab), 795 nucleotides long. RefSeq lists it as uncharacterized. The record is from RefSeq and is a predicted model, not a curated record. Lineage: Eukaryota; Metazoa; Arthropoda; Malacostraca; Decapoda; Portunidae. The transcript is spliced from 2 exons.
CAAUGCUUCCUUGGUUUGUACGGCAAGCAGUAGUACUGUAGCUACUGUAAGCCUACCACUGGCAGCCAAUCAGAGAACAGCUGGGUUUGCCAGGCCUAUGGGCGUGCACAUGUUGUAUCUGACAGUAGCAAGCACAGACUUUACUACCAAUGCUUGGCGUUUGUGUUGGCAGCCGGAGCCUCACUCCUGCCGCGGUCAGUUUCCUAUCAGUGAUGCUUGCACUCGCCUGCCCUUACGCCCUCACACCACAAUGACACCACGCUGCGAGGGGAAGGCAACCUGGCCUCAGCCUGCUGUCUCUGCCGCCGCUGCUGCUGCUGCUGCUGCACUGUCGACGACCUGUGGAUUACUGGCGCACAUGCUCGAGCUGCACUCCCACAUGUCAGCUGGUUCGCUGUGGCUACGUGUGAUCUAGUAUUGCUGAGGUGUGCUAUAGAGCAUGGUGAUGUGGCCUAAGUUGGGUGGAUAUUUGUACUUCACUUACUGAAAGGUGGUGUGAUCUGCUCAAGACCAGAUAUUGACUCACAUAGCUGGUGGGUCAGUCUAGCGACGGCGAUGGGCCGGCUCGACUAUGCUGAGUCACGUGGCUCAGAGUCCCGGCAGAGUGGAGGAUAUUUUUCAGGCUGAGGGUCGACGCCCCCCACGCUGCUGCACUACUUUGAAGCACCAGCAAGACCUGGCGUGAUGUGAAAGGUGGUCCGUGUCAGCACACCAGGACGAGACUCAGCCUUUCCCUUCACCAUGCCGACCACGUGCGUCUUGUUGCUCGCCCAAUAAACUUGUACGAUUCAUUUC